RNAcentral lists this ribosomal RNA (372 nucleotides) under uncultured organism. Its description in RNAcentral is "bacterial SSU rRNA". It matches the Rfam family "Bacterial small subunit ribosomal RNA", at positions 526 to 896 of the family's 1533-position model. The record is from RNAcentral.
CGUAGGGGGCAAGCGUUGUCCGGAAUUAUUGGGCGUAAAGAGCGCGCAGGCGGGUCUGUCAGUCUACCGUGAAAGCUUACGGCUCAACCGUAACGGGUCGGUGGAUACUGCAGAUCUUGAGGGCAGGAGAGGAAAGUGGAAUUCCCAGUGUAGCGGUGAAAUGCGUAGAUAUUGGGAGGAACACCAGUGGCGAAGGCGACUUUCUGGACUGUUACUGACGCUGAGGCGCGAAAGCUGGGGGAGUGAACGGGAUUAGAUACCCCGGUAAUCCCAGCCGUAAACGAUGGGUACUAGGUGUAGGAGGUAUCGACCCCUUCUGUGCCGGAGUUAACGCAAUAAGUACCCCGCCUGGGGAGUACGGUCGCAAGACUG